RNAcentral lists this transfer RNA (70 nucleotides) under Marmota monax (woodchuck). RNAcentral's name for it is "tRNA.Ala". The record is from RNAcentral. Lineage: Eukaryota; Metazoa; Chordata; Mammalia; Rodentia; Sciuridae.
GAGCUGGGGCUCAGUGGUAGAGCGUUUGCCUAGCACAUGCAGGACCCUGGGUUAGAUCCUCAGCACCACA